Molecule: ribosomal RNA, 503 nt
Filed under: uncultured bacterium
Lineage: Bacteria
Description: partial 16S ribosomal RNA
Rfam family: Bacterial small subunit ribosomal RNA
Source: RNAcentral
AUUGAACGCUGGCGGCAGGCUUAACACAUGCAAGUCGAGCGGGGUGAUGGUGCUUGCACUAUCACUUAGCGGCGGACGGGUGCGUAAUGCUUAGGAAUCUGCCUAUUAGUGGGGGACAACAUCUCGACAGGGAUGCUAAUACCGCAUACGUCCUACGGGAGAAAGCAGGGGCUCACUUGUGACCUUGCGCUAAUAGAUGAGCCUCAGUCGGAUUAGCUAGUUGGUGGGGUAAAGGCCUACCAAGGCGACGAUCUGUAGCGGGUCUGAGAGGAUGAUCCGCAACACUGGGACUGCGACACGGACCAGACUCCUACGUGAGUCAGCAGUGGGGAAUAUUGGACAAUGGGGGGAACCCUGAUCCAGCCGUGCCGCGUGUGUGAAGAAGGCCUUAUGGUUGUAAAGCACUUUAAGCGAUGAUGAGGCUCUUUUGGUUAAUACCCAAGAUGAGUGGACGUUACUCGCAGAAUAAGCACCGGCUAACUCUGUGCCAGCCGCCGUAACAC